UAAUACGGAGGGUGCAAGCGUUAUCCGGAAUCAUUGGGUUUAAAGGGUCCCGCAGGCGGAUUUAUAAGUCAGUGGUGAAAUCCUAUCGCUUAACGAUAGAACUGCCAUUGAUACUGUAGGUCUUGAAUUCGGUCGAAGUGGGCGGAAUGUGUAGUGUAGCGGUGAAAUGCAUAGAUAUUACACAGAACACCGAUAGCGAAGGCAGCUCACUAGGCCUGGAUUGACGCUCAGGGACGAAAGCGUGGGGAUCAAACAGGAUUAGAUACCCUGGUAGUCCACGCUGUAAACGAUGAUUACUCGUUUUCGGCGAUACAAUGUCGGAGACUAAGCGAAAGUGAUAAGUAAUCCACCUGGGGAGUACGAUCGCAAGGUUGAAACUCAAAGGAAUUGACGGGGGCCCGCACAAGCGGUGGAGCAUGUGGUUUAAUUCGAUGAUACGCGAGGAACCUUACCCAGGGCUUGAAAGUUAGUGAAGGGAGUGGAAACA
RNAcentral lists this ribosomal RNA (487 nucleotides) under uncultured Lishizhenia sp. Its description in RNAcentral is "bacterial SSU rRNA". It matches the Rfam family "Bacterial small subunit ribosomal RNA", at positions 521 to 1008 of the family's 1533-position model. Lineage: Bacteria; Pseudomonadati; Bacteroidota; Flavobacteriia; Flavobacteriales; Crocinitomicaceae. The record is from RNAcentral.